This 253-nucleotide ribosomal RNA is filed under the name uncultured bacterium. RNAcentral describes it as "partial 16S ribosomal RNA". It matches the Rfam family "Bacterial small subunit ribosomal RNA", at positions 524 to 776 of the family's 1533-position model. The record is from RNAcentral. RNAcentral also lists the same sequence under 1 other name.
GACAGAGGGUGCAAACGUUGUUCGGAAUUACUGGGCGUAAAGCGUGUGUAGGCGGCCACGUAAGUCGGAUGUGAAAGCCCCGGGCUCAACCCGGGAAGUGCACUCGAUACUGCGUGGCUUGAGUACUGGAGAGGUUGGUGGAAUUCUCGGUGUAGAGGUGAAAUUCGUAGAUAUCGAGAGGAACACCGGUGGCGAAGGCGGCCAACUGGACAGAUACUGACGCUGAGACACGAAAGCGUGGGGAGCAAACAGG